UCAAGAAACUUCCACAAUGGGCGAAAGCCUGAUGGAGCGACGUCGCGUGAUGGACGAAGUGCUUCGGCACGUAAACAUCUUUUAUGUGGGAUGAAAUUAUUGACAGUACCACAUGAAUAAGGGGCUCCUAACUCUGUGCCAGCAGGAGCGGUAAUACAGAGGCCCCAAGCGUUAUCCGGAAUUACUGGGCGUAAAGGGCGCGUAGGCGGCCCUCUAAGUCAGACGUGAAAUCCCCCGGCUUAACCUGGGAACUGCGUCUGAUACUGGAGGGCUUGAGUAUGGGAGAGGGAUGUAGAACGUCCAGGUGUAGCGGUGAAAUGCGUAGAUAUCUGGAGGAAUACCGGUGGCGAAGGCGGCAUCCUGGACCCAUUACUGACGCUGAGGCGCGAAAGCUAGGGGAGCAAACGGGAUUAGAUACCCACGUAGUCCCUG
RNAcentral lists this ribosomal RNA (432 nucleotides) under uncultured bacterium. RNAcentral's name for it is "bacterial SSU rRNA". It matches the Rfam family "Bacterial small subunit ribosomal RNA", at positions 355 to 799 of the family's 1533-position model. The record is from RNAcentral.